RNAcentral lists this ribosomal RNA (429 nucleotides) under uncultured archaeon. RNAcentral describes it as "bacterial SSU rRNA". It matches the Rfam family "Archaeal small subunit ribosomal RNA", at positions 474 to 903 of the family's 1478-position model. The record is from RNAcentral.
UACCAGCUCUCCGAGUUGUAGGGAUGAUUAUUGGGCUUAAAGCGUCCGUAGCUGGCUUAGCAAGUCUCCUGUUAAAUUCAGCGACCUAAUCGUUGAGCCGCGGGAGAUACUACUAGGCUAGGAGGCGGGAGAGGUCGACGGUACUUUCGGGGUAGGGGUGAAAUCCUAUAAUCUCGGGAGGACCACCAGUGGCGAAGGCUGUCGACUAGAACGCGCUCGACGGUGAGGGACGAAAGCUGGGGGAGCGAACCGGAUUAGAUACCCGGGUAGUCCCAGCUGUAAACUAUGCGGGCUAGGUGUUGGGGUGGCUACGGGCCACUUCAGUGCCGCAGGAAAGCCAUUAAGCCCGCCGCCUGGGGAGUACGGCCGCAAGGCUGAAACUUAAAGGAAUUGGCGGGGGAGCACCACAAGGCGUGAAGCUUGCGGUUC